Molecule: ribosomal RNA, 253 nt
Filed under: uncultured bacterium
Lineage: Bacteria
Description: partial 16S ribosomal RNA
Rfam family: Bacterial small subunit ribosomal RNA
Source: RNAcentral
UACAGAGGGUGCAAGCGUUGUUCGGAAUUAUUGGGCGUAAAGGGCGCGUAGGCGGUUCGGCAAGUCUCUAGUGAAAUCUCAGGGCUCAACUCUGAGUCUGCUGGGGAAACUGCCGGGCUUGAGUGUGGGAGAGGAGAGUGGGAUUCCCGGUGUAGCGGUGAAAUGCGUAGAUAUCGGGAGGAACACCUGUGGCGAAAGCGGCUCUCUGGACCACAACUGACGCUGAGGCGCGAAAGCUAGGGGAGCAAACAGG